GGGGCUAUAGCUUAGCUCGGACAGCGCUUGCCUGGAAUGCAAGAGGUCGACGGUUCGCUCCCGUCUAGCUCCACCA
Molecule: transfer RNA, 76 nt
Filed under: Pseudomonas sp. MWU12-2534b
Lineage: Bacteria; Pseudomonadati; Pseudomonadota; Gammaproteobacteria; Pseudomonadales; Pseudomonadaceae
Description: tRNA-Ser
Rfam family: tRNA
About the family: Transfer RNA (tRNA) molecules are approximately 80 nucleotides in length. Their secondary structure includes four short double-helical elements and three loops (D, anti-codon, and T loops).
Source: RNAcentral